UACGGGGGGAGCAAGCGUUGUUCGGAUUUACUGGGCGUAAAGGGCGCGUAGGCGGUCGUGACAAGUCCCUUGUGAAAUCUCCGGGCUUAACUCGGAACGGUCAAGUGAUACUGUCGGACUAGAGUACAGAAGGGGCAACUGGAAUUCUCGGUAUAGCGGUGAAAUGCGUAGAUAUCGAGAGGAACACCUGCGGCGAAGGCGGGUUGCUGGGCUGAUACUGACGCUGAGGCGCGAAAGCCAGGGGAGCGAACGGG
This 254-nucleotide ribosomal RNA is filed under the name uncultured bacterium. RNAcentral's name for it is "partial 16S ribosomal RNA". It matches the Rfam family "Bacterial small subunit ribosomal RNA", at positions 524 to 776 of the family's 1533-position model. The record is from RNAcentral.